AUGGAGACUCCUCGUGGCCUACUCCAGUCAGAUGCCUCGGCCGAUCAGGUGGCUUCCGAACGGUCAGACUCUGUUCAACAACAUGGGGUUGAUAAGGAGCAUGCCAUGCUGGCACCGUUCACAGCCGGAUGGCAGACCGCAAUCUCGCCGACAUUGAUUAUCGAGAGAUCUGAGGGCUGUUAUAUUUAUGAUGCCAACGGAAACAAGUAUCUGGAUGCCCUUGCAGGAUUAUUGUCUACAGCUUUAGGUGGUAGUGAGCCUCGAUUAGUCAAAGCUGCAACAGAGCAAUUGAACAAGCUGCCUUUCUACCACUCCUUUUAUAAUCAUACAACAAGACCCUCUUUGGAUCUUGCGAACGAACUUAUUAGCAUUUUCACUGCCAGGCAAAUGGGGAAAGUGUUCUUUACCUGCAGUGGUUCGGAAGCAAAUGACUCUCAGGUCAAGCUAGUAUGGUAUUAUAACAAUGCAUUGGGGAGGCCAAAGAAGAAGAAAAUCAUUGCACGAUCACAAUCGUAUCAUGGGACAACAUACAUAUCAGCUAGUCUAUCUGGUCUUCCUACGUUGCACCAAGACUUUGAUCUGCCAGGAAAUUUUGUUCUACACACAGACUGCCCUCACUACUGGCGUUUUCACCUCCCUGGUGAGACGGAAGAAGAAUUUGCAACUAGACUUGCCAAUAAUUUAGAGAAUCUUAUCCUCAAAGAAGGACCAGACACGAUUGCUGCCUUCAUUGCUGAACCUGUGAUUGGUGCUGGUGGUGUCAUCCUGCCUCCAAAAACAUAUUUUGAGAAGAUUCAAGAAGUUGUUAAGAAGCAUGACAUCCUUUUCAUAGUUGAUGAGGUCAUUACAGGAUUUGGAAGGUUGGGGGCUAUGUUUGGAUCUGAUUUGUAUGACAUCAAACCAGAUCUUGUUUCCUUGGCAAAGGCUCUUUCUUCUGCAUAUGCCCCCAUUGGAGCAAUACUUGUUAGCCGGGAAAUAUCAGAUGUAAUUUAUUCUCAUAGCAAUAAGCUUGGUACAUUUGCUCAUGGAUUUACAUACUCUGGACAUCCUGUUUCAUGUGUUGUGGCUUUAGAAGCAUUAAAAAUUUAUCGGGAAAGAGAUAUUCCUGGUCAUGUAGCACAUGUUGCACAAAGAUUCCAGGAGGGGAUCAAGGCCUUUGCAGCCAAAAGUCCAAUUAUUGGGGAGACGCGUGGUGUAGGAUUGCUGAUAGCAACAGAGUUCACUGACAACAAAUCACCAUAUGAUUUAUUCCCUUUUGAGUGGGGCAUAGGUGAAACAUUUGGGGCGGAGUGUAAGAAACGUGGUAUGGUGGUUAAGGUUCUUGGGAACUUGAUAGCGAUGUCCCCACCACUGAUAAUAACCCUUGAAGAAAUUGAUAAACUGGUGAGCAUAUAUGGAGAAGCCCUAAAGGUCACAGAGGAAAGAGUAGCGGAGUGUAAAGCCAAGAAGGAGUAG
Molecule: ribosomal RNA, 1455 nt
Filed under: Triticum aestivum (bread wheat)
Lineage: Eukaryota; Viridiplantae; Streptophyta; Magnoliopsida; Poales; Poaceae
Description: partial small subunit ribosomal RNA
Source: RNAcentral